This 372-nucleotide ribosomal RNA is filed under the name uncultured organism. RNAcentral's name for it is "bacterial SSU rRNA". It matches the Rfam family "Bacterial small subunit ribosomal RNA", at positions 526 to 896 of the family's 1533-position model. The record is from RNAcentral.
CGGGGGGGGUAAGCGUUGUUCGGAAUUACUGGGCGUAAAGGGCUCGUAGGCGGCCAACUAAGUCAUACGUGAAAUCCCUCAGCUUAACUGGGGAACUGCGUCUGAUACUGGAUGGCUUGGAUUCGGGAGAGGAAUGCGGAAUUCCAGGUGUAGCGGUGAAAUGCGUAGAUAUCUGGAGGAACACCGGUGGCGAAGGCGGCAUUCUGGACCGACAUUGACGCUGAGGAGCGAAAGCCAGGGGAGCAAACGGGAUUAGAUACCCCGAUAGUCCUGGCCCUAAACGAUGAAUGCUUGGUGUGGCGGGUAUCGAUCCCUGCCGUGCCGAAGCUAACGCAUUAAGCAUUCCGCCUGGGGAGUACGGUCGCAAGGCGG